Molecule: small RNA, 84 nt
Organism: Listeria monocytogenes EGD-e
Lineage: Bacteria; Bacillati; Bacillota; Bacilli; Caryophanales; Listeriaceae
Rfam family: Listeria sRNA rli36
Source: Rfam
UAAAUAGUAGUUAUUUCUUUAUAACUCUCAUAAGAGAAUAUCUAUUCAUUCCCACAUCGCUUCUGAUUCCCACAGAUCAAAAGC